RNAcentral lists this ribosomal RNA (1361 nucleotides) under metagenome. RNAcentral's name for it is "bacterial LSU rRNA". It matches the Rfam family "Bacterial large subunit ribosomal RNA", at positions 1577 to 2925 of the family's 2925-position model. The record is from RNAcentral.
AUUAGCGGGAUAACAGGGUGAUCCUAUGCUGCCAAGAAAAGCCUCGGCGCGAGGUUCUAGCCGCCCGUACCCCAAACCGACUCAGGUGGUCAGGUAGAGAAUACUAAGGCGAUCGAGAUAAUCGUGGUUAAGGAACUCGGCAAAAUGCCCCCGUAACUUCGGGAGAAGGGGGGCCCUAAGCGUGAAGCCGCUUGCCGGCUAGCGUGACGGGCCGCAGAGACCAGGGAGAAGCGACUGUUUACUAAAAACACAGGUCCGUGCUAAGUCGCAAGACGAUGUAUACGGACUGACGCCUGCCCGGUGCUGGAAGGUUAAGAGGACGGGUCAGCUCUUCGGAGCGAAGCUCAGAAUUUAAGCCCCAGUAAACGGCGGUGGUAACUAUAACCAUCCUAAGGUAGCGAAAUUCCUUGUCGGGUAAGUUCCGACCUGCACGAAUGGCGUAACGACUUCUCCGCUGUCUCAACCGCGAACUCGGCGAAAUUGCACUACGAGUAAGGAUGCUCGUUACGCGCAGCAGGACGGAAAGACCCCGGGACCUUUACUAUAGCUUGGUAUUGGUGUUCGGUGCGGCUUGUGUAGGAUAGGUGGGAGACUGCGAAGCUCACGCGCCAGCGUGGGUGGAGUCAACGUUGAAAUACCACUCUGGUCGCUCUGGACUCCUAACCUCGGUCCGUAAUCCGGAUCAGGGACAGUGCCUGGUGGGUAGUUUAACUGGGGCGGUUGCCUCCUAAAAUGUAACGGAGGCGCUCAAAGGUUCCCUCAGCCUGGUUGGCAAUCAGGUGGCGAGUGCAAGUGCACAAGGGAGCUUGACUGUGAGACUGACAGGUCGAGCAGGGACGAAAGUCGGAACUAGUGAUCCGGCGGUGGCUUGUGGAAGCGCCGUCGCUCAACGGAUAAAAGGUACCCCGGGGAUAACAGGCUGAUCUUGCCCAAGAGUCCAUAUCGACGGCAUGGUUUGGCACCUCGAUGUCGGCUCGUCGCAUCCUGGGGCUGGAGUAGGUCCCAAGGGUUGGGCUGUUCGCCCAUUAAAGCGGUACGCGAGCUGGGUUUAGAACGUCGUGAGACAGUUCGGUCCCUAUCCGCUGCGCGCGCAGGAAACUUGAGAAGGGCUGUCCCUAGUACGAGAGGACCGGGACGGACGAACCUCUGGUGUGCCAGUUGUUCCGCCAGGAGCACGGCUGGUUAGCUACGUUCGGAAGGGAUAACCGCUGAAAGCAUCUAAGCGGGAAGCCUGCUUCAAGAUGAGGUUUCCAACCCCGUAUGGGGGAGAGGCACCCAGCUAGACCACUGGGUAGAUAGGCCGGAUGUGGGAGCGGGGACGAAAGACCCGUGAAGCUGACCGGUACUAAUCAGCCGACAAC